CACGAGUGAGCUGACCCUUUUU
Molecule: microRNA, 22 nt
Filed under: Ananas comosus (pineapple)
Lineage: Eukaryota; Viridiplantae; Streptophyta; Magnoliopsida; Poales; Bromeliaceae
Description: microRNA s1706_c111b
Source: RNAcentral